AGUGAACGCUGGCGGCGUGCCUAAUACAUGCAAGUCGAACGAAGUGGCGCACGGGUGAGUAAUAUAUAGUUAAUCUGCCCAACACAGAGGAACAACAGUUGGAAACGACUGAUAAUACCUCAUAGUGUAUGAUGAGACGAUAUCGUAUCAGCUAGUUGGUAAGGUAAUGACGUACCAAGGCUAUGACGCGUAACUGGUCUUAGAUGAUGAUCAGGCACAUUGGAACGUAGACACGAUCCAGACUCCUUCGGAAAGCAGCAGUAGGGUAGAUUACGCAAUGGGUGAAACCCUGACGCAGCAUCGCCGCGUGGAGGAUGACACUUUUCGGAGCAUAAACUCCUUUUAUCAGCCUAGCGGUACCUGAUGAAUAAGCACCGGCUAACUCCGUGCCAGCAGCCGCGGUAAUAC
RNAcentral lists this ribosomal RNA (408 nucleotides) under uncultured bacterium. Its description in RNAcentral is "partial 16S ribosomal RNA". It matches the Rfam family "Bacterial small subunit ribosomal RNA", at positions 29 to 526 of the family's 1533-position model. The record is from RNAcentral.